Monopterus albus (swamp eel) is the source of this 553-nucleotide long non-coding RNA. RefSeq lists it as uncharacterized. The record is from RefSeq and is a predicted model, not a curated record. NCBI's taxonomy places the organism in Eukaryota, Metazoa, Chordata, Actinopteri, Synbranchiformes, Synbranchidae. The transcript has 3 exons.
UCAGGAAAAUGGCCUGAAAUGAUUAAUCGGUUACCAAAAUAGCUGGUGGAGUGACUGAUUCAUUGAUUAAUUGUUUCAGCUCUGCUUAUAACUGAUCUAGAAUUGAUUUCAGAACCAUUAAUAAAGUAACUAAUAACAGCUUAUAGCUAGUUAGCAGAAAGUGGCACCCUUGAAAGUAGCCUAUGUCGCCUUCAAAACAAUAUGUAAACCAUCAGGAUACUGCAGUAACCACAAUCUCUGGUGAUACAAAGUAAUUAUACAUGUCGUGUAAUGAGCUGUUCAGUCAAAUCGAUCCAACCAGCUGUCAACAUCAGUCGAGUGCUUUUAAAGCGGGGUUAACGGCGCUAACGGGGGCGAGUCAAGUCCCUCUGAAGUGAUGCACCCGUUUGCAGGUCAGCGUUUCCAGGGGUAGUGAACGGGAUUAUAAGAACGAGCGACAAGAGAUGUGUACAACAGAGGACAUUUUUCCAGAGUGGUGAAACAGUGCCAGCUACAGCUCACACAUCACGACUGCCCUUUCAUCCCUGUUGAGGCCAGUGUGGAACAGGUGGUC